This 64-nucleotide transfer RNA is filed under the name Placosternum urus. RNAcentral's name for it is "tRNA-His". Lineage: Eukaryota; Metazoa; Arthropoda; Insecta; Hemiptera; Pentatomidae. The record is from RNAcentral.
AGGAUUUAUGGUAGUUUAAAUAGAAUAAUAAUUUGUGGUAUUAUUGGUGAAAUUUUUCUCUAAA